AGUGAACGCUGGCGGUAGGCCUAACACAUGCAAGUCGAACGGCAGCACAGUAAGAGCUUGCUCUUACGGGUGGCGAGUGGCGGACGGGUGAGGAAUACAUCGGAAUCUACUUUUUCGUGGGGGAUAACGUAGGGAAACUUACGCUAAUACCGCAUACGACCUACGGGUGAAAGCAGUGGAUCUUCGGACCUUGCGCGAUUGAUUGAGCCGAUGUCGGAUUAGCUAGUUGGCGGGGUAAAGGCCCACCAAGGCGACGAUCCGUAGCUGGUCUGAGAGGAUGAUCAGCCACACUGGAACUGAGACACGGUCCAGACUCCUACGGGAGGCAGCAGUGGGGAAUAUUGGACAAUGGGCGCAAGCCUGAUCCAGCCAUACCGCGUGGGUGAAGAAGGCCUUCGGGUUGUAAAGCCCUUUUGUUGGGAAAGAAAAGCAGCAGGUUAAUACCCCGCUGUUCUGACGGUACCCAAAGAAUAAGCACCGGCUAACUUCGUG
This 492-nucleotide ribosomal RNA is filed under the name uncultured bacterium. RNAcentral's name for it is "partial 16S ribosomal RNA". It matches the Rfam family "Bacterial small subunit ribosomal RNA", at positions 29 to 507 of the family's 1533-position model. The record is from RNAcentral.